Molecule: ribosomal RNA, 667 nt
Filed under: Helvella lacunosa
Lineage: Eukaryota; Fungi; Ascomycota; Pezizomycetes; Pezizales; Helvellaceae
Description: eukaryotic LSU rRNA
Rfam family: Eukaryotic large subunit ribosomal RNA
Source: RNAcentral
AAUCUGGGGCCCUCGGCCUCCGAGUUGUAAUUUGGAGAGGCAUCCUUCUGGGGGGAGCGCCGGCCCAUGUUCCUUGGAACAGGACGUCACAGAGGGUGAGAAUCCCGUGUCAGGCAGGCUGCCUCCUCCCGUGUGAAGGGCCUUCGACGAGUCGAGUUGUUUGGGAAUGCAGCUCCAAGUGGGUGGUAAAUUUCAUCUAAAGCUAAAUACCGGCGGGAGACCGAUAGCGCACAAGUAGAGUGAUCGAAAGAUGAAAAGCACUUUGAAAAUAGAGUCAAAAAGUACGUGAAAUUGUUGAAAGGGAAGCGCUUGAGACCAGACUCAGGCCCGGGCAAACACCGCGCCCCUUGGGGCCGUGCAAUUGCCCGGGGCUGGGCCAGCAUCAGUUGGUGUGGCGGGACAAAGGCGCAGGCAAUGUGGCUCCCCUCGAGGAGUGUUAUUAGGCCCGCGCUCAAUGCCGCCGACGUCGACUGAGGACCGCGCCUCGGCUAGGAUGCUGGCUCAAUGGCCUUCAGCGACCCGUCUUGAAACACGGACCAAGGAGUCUAACAUCUAUGCGAGUGUUUGGGCGUCAAACCCUUGCGCGUAAUGAAAGUGAGCGGAGGUGGGAACCCCUCGCGGGGCGCACCAUCGACCGAUCCUGAUGUCUUCGGAUGGAUUUGAGUAG